UACGUAGGUGGCGAGCGUUGUCCGGAAUUACUGGGUGUAAAGCGCGUGUAGGCGGGAGGCCAAGUUUGCGGUGAAAUCGCUCGGCUCAACUGGGCGGGGUCCGUGGAAACUGGUCACCUGGAGGACGGUAGAGGCGAGUGGAAUUCCCGGUGUAGUGGUGAAAUGCGUAGAGAUCGGGAGGAACACCAGUGGCGAAGGCGGCUCGCUGGGCCGGACCUGACGCUGAGACGCGAAAGCGUGGGGAGCGAACAGG
This 253-nucleotide ribosomal RNA is filed under the name uncultured bacterium. RNAcentral's name for it is "partial 16S ribosomal RNA". It matches the Rfam family "Bacterial small subunit ribosomal RNA", at positions 524 to 776 of the family's 1533-position model. The record is from RNAcentral.